This is a long non-coding RNA of Triticum dicoccoides, 812 nucleotides long. RefSeq lists it as uncharacterized. NCBI's taxonomy places the organism in Eukaryota, Viridiplantae, Streptophyta, Magnoliopsida, Poales, Poaceae. The transcript has 4 exons. The record is from RefSeq and is a predicted model, not a curated record.
GACCCUAGGCAAUAGCUACUGAUACGACGGCCGACGAGGUUGAUGUCAAAAGUGCGCCUGCGGAGAAUUUUGAGAGCCCUGUGCCAUCACCUACUGAUGCCAUUUCUACUGUACAAGUUGAUGGUGGUCAACAUGAUGAUGAACAAGGAAAAUAUUUUGCUAACACCAAGGAUGUAAAAUAUUUUGCUAAGAAACAUGGUCUGAGCGUUCAGGUGACAGAUCGGAUGAACAAGGGAAGUUCUAAAGAGGAGAUGGAAGGAAUGGCGGGUUUAGAGGGUCAGCAGAUGGAAGACGCCACCAAGAACCAAGGCCUACGAAACAAACAACGUCUGCGGACGAGGUUGUCAUCGCUGGUGGCAAUUGGUGUCUUUCGCCAAAGAAGUCGACAGGGGAUGUUGGUGCCUUGAGUAGGUUAAUCUUGCUCAGGACAGGGCUGGAGUAUGCUUUGAGUAUCAGGUGCUGGGUGUGCCAGACAAGUACGGAUAUGAGGAGUCGUCUCCUGAAGUUGAUGAAGUGGUUCUGAUAAGUUUGUCCUGAAUGCACAUGAAUUCCUAUUUGGUGGAUUUCUGCUGUCCUGUGACAGAGUCCACCAUGUAUGUUAUCGGACAUAUAUCUCGUCCAAAUGCAUAAAUAGAAAGCCCAUAAGGAACAAAAGAACCUGAACCUAAGUUCAUUUGGGACCUGAACCUGAACCUAGGUUCAUUUGGUGGCUUUCUGAUAAGUUCAUUUGGAACGAGUAACUACCACAGAUCACAUGUAUGUCCCGUUUGAUUGUACAUGAAAACUGUCAUAAGUUACAUGCUUAUCAUCCU